AAUGAACGCUGGCGGCAGGCCUAAAACAUGCAAGUCGAACGCCUGUAGCAAUACAGGAGUGGCGCACGGGUGCGUAACACGUGGGAAUAUGCCUAUUGGUACGGAACAGCUCCGGGAAACUGGAAUUAAUACCGUAUGGUCCCUUCGGGGUAAAGAUUUAUCGCCAAUAGAUUAGCCCGCGGUGGAUUAGCUAGUUGGUAGGGUAAUGGCCUACCAAGGCGACGAUCCAUAGCUGGUCUGAGAGGACGAUCAGCCACAGUGGGACUGAGACACGGCCCAGACUCCUACGGGAGGCAGCAUUUAGGAAUAUUGGACAAUGGGCGCAAGCCUGAUCCAGCCAUGCCGCGUGAGUGAUGAAGGCCUUCGGGUUGUAAAACUCUUUAGCCGAUGAAUAUAAUGACUGUAGUCGGAAAAUAAGCCCCGGCUAACUUCGUGCCAGCCGCCGCCGUAA
RNAcentral lists this ribosomal RNA (451 nucleotides) under uncultured bacterium. RNAcentral describes it as "partial 16S ribosomal RNA". It matches the Rfam family "Bacterial small subunit ribosomal RNA", at positions 29 to 523 of the family's 1533-position model. The record is from RNAcentral.